AACGAACGCUGGCGGCAUGCCUAACACAUGCAAGUCGAACGAGACCUUCGGGUCUAGUGGCGCACGGGUGCGUAACGCGUGGGAACCUGCCCUUAGGUUCGGAAUAACUCCCCGAAAGGGGUGCUAAUACCGGAUAAUGUCUUCGGACCAAAGAUUUAUCGCCUUUGGAUGGGCCCGCGUUGGAUUAGCUAGUUGGUAGGGUAAAAGCCUACCAAGGCGACGAUCCAUAACUGGUCUGAGAGGAUGAUCAGCCACACUGGGACUGAGACACGGCCCAGACUCCUACGGGAGGCAGCAGUGGGGAAUAUUGGACAAUGGGCGAAAGCCUGAUCCAGCAAUGCCGCGUGAGUGAUGAAGGCCUUAGGGUUGUAAAGCUCUUUUACCCGGGAUGAUAAUGACAGUACCGGGAGAAUAAGCUCCGGCUAACUCCGU
RNAcentral lists this ribosomal RNA (432 nucleotides) under uncultured bacterium. RNAcentral's name for it is "partial 16S ribosomal RNA". It matches the Rfam family "Bacterial small subunit ribosomal RNA", at positions 29 to 506 of the family's 1533-position model. The record is from RNAcentral.